Molecule: ribosomal RNA, 497 nt
Filed under: uncultured bacterium
Lineage: Bacteria
Description: partial 16S ribosomal RNA
Rfam family: Bacterial small subunit ribosomal RNA
Source: RNAcentral
GAUGAACGCUGGCGGCGUGCCUAAUACAUGCAAGUCGAGCGAACAGACGAGGAGCUUGCUCCUCUGACGUUAGCGGCGGACGGGUGAGUAACACGUGGAUAACCUACCUAUAAGACUGGGAUAACUUCGGGAAACCGGAGCUAAUACCGGAUAAUAUAUUGAACCGCAUGGUUCAAUAGUGAAAGACGGUUUUGCUGUCACUUAUAGAUGGAUCCGCGCCGCAUUAGCUAGUUGGUAAGGUAACGGCUUACCAAGGCAACGAUGCGUAGCCGACCUGAGAGGCUGAUAGGCCACACUGGAGCGUGAACGCGGUCCAGACUCCUACGGUAGGCACCAGUAGGGAAUCUGCCGCAAUGGGCGAAAGCUUGACGGAGCAACCCCGCGUGAGUUGUGAAGGUCUUCGGAUCGUAAUACUCUGUUAUUAGGGAAGAACAAAUGUGUAAGUAACUAUGCACUUCUUGACGGUACCUAAUCAGAAAGCCACGGCUAACUACGUG